Molecule: non-coding RNA, 99 nt
Filed under: Candidatus Acinetobacter avistercoris
Lineage: Bacteria; Pseudomonadati; Pseudomonadota; Gammaproteobacteria; Moraxellales; Moraxellaceae
Description: traJ-II RNA
Rfam family: traJ-II RNA
Source: RNAcentral
GGCAAGAUGUGUAUUGUAGGCCUACGGAAUUUCAUUCCUUGGCUACAUACUUAACCUUAUUCGCACUUUGUACUCAACGGAUAUCUUGCUCUGCGAGGC